AGGACGAACGCUGGCGGCGUGCUUAACACAUGCAAGUCGAGCGGAAAGGCCCUUCGGGGUACUCGAGCGGCGAACGGGUGAGUAACACGUGAGUAAUCUGCCCCUAGCUCUGGGAUAGCUCCGGGAAACCGGGAUUAAUACCAGAUACGACCACUUUAGACAUCUGUUGUGGUGGAAAGAAUUUUGGCUAGGGAUGAGCUCGCGGCCUAUCAGCUUGUUGGUGGGGUAACAGCCUACCAAGGCGACGACGGGUA
Molecule: ribosomal RNA, 254 nt
Filed under: uncultured bacterium
Lineage: Bacteria
Description: partial small subunit ribosomal RNA
Rfam family: Bacterial small subunit ribosomal RNA
Source: RNAcentral